GAGCAUAUUGAAUUUUUCUCCUGGCAGAAGAAUAUUUUUCACUUCUUGAAAAAAUGAAGACUUUUCAAUUUUACAACGACUUGAAAGAAUAUCUUUUACGGGAAGAAUUUAGCAACAAUUUAACGGUCAGAGAGCGAAGUGAAAUACGACGUGUGUCCGUGAAUUUUAUGAUUAAAGUCCAUCAUCCAUGCCCUGGCUACUCUACAGGGUGUAUCAGGACAGGAGGCAGAAGACUUAUUUCUUGGUGGCCCAGAAUACAGUAUCAGUGAAGUGGAAGAAUUUAACUGAAAGAUAGGGCAGCAAUUAAAGAAGGAGGGAAUGCUGUGAUAUCUCUUAGAA
This is a long non-coding RNA of Erpetoichthys calabaricus (reedfish), 339 nucleotides long. RefSeq lists it as uncharacterized. NCBI's taxonomy places the organism in Eukaryota, Metazoa, Chordata, Cladistia, Polypteriformes, Polypteridae. The transcript has 3 exons. The record is from RefSeq and is a predicted model, not a curated record.